CGCAAACACUGCAUCUGGAAGGCAAGAGGAAUGUCUCAGGAAGACACUCAGUGAAGGCGAGAAGGUGUCUCCUUCAAGUGUAAAUCAAUUAUUUCACAGAGUCAAACCUGUGGUUAAUAAAGCCCACAUUUUUUAAUCAACCUUGAUGCUACCAUCAGACCAAGAAAAGACAGUGGUAAAAGAAAUGACUGCUGCCUCAAGAUCUGAGGGCUCCACCUUGGAACUGCCCUCAAAACCAGACUGGACAACUAGGAGAUGGGAGCAGUAACCAAUCACAUCUCUGAGGCCUCAAGCAAGGCACUGUAUAUAAACUGUUGAACAAAAAUGAUCGCUCCCUUCAGGAGAUACGGGUCACACAUCAACAUUUAAGUACAAAGGGUGACAAAUGGUGUACCAUAAUUGGAACAUAUGUUCCCUGAACUGACAGUACUCUGUCUCUACAGCACAGUCCCUAUGAAUUAAGAUACUUACAGUGAUGAGGAAUGGUAUGCUGGAAACAGUUUUGCUAUUUUCUUCAAAUUAGCUGAAGUCAUGCUAUGUCUCAAUAAAUUAUUU
Molecule: long non-coding RNA, 555 nt
Filed under: Homo sapiens (human)
Lineage: Eukaryota; Metazoa; Chordata; Mammalia; Primates; Hominidae
Description: HSALNT0121067
Source: RNAcentral